GACGAACGCUGGCGGCGUGCUUAACACAUGCAAGUCGAACGGAAAGGCCCUGCUUUUGUGGGGUGCUCGAGUGGCGAACGGGUGAGUAACACGUGAGUAACCUGCCCUUGACUUUGGGAUAACUUCAGGAAACUGGGGCUAAUACCGGAUAGGAGCUCCUGCUGCAUGGUGGGGGUUGGAAAGUUUCGGCGGUUGGGGAUGGACUCGCGGCUUAUCAGCUUGUUGGUGGGGUAGUGGCUUACCAAGGCUUUGACGGGUAGCCGGCCUGAGAGGGUGACCGGCAGCAUGGGCGACAGGAGGCCGCCGAGGCGCGUACGAGAGGCAGUAGAGGAGAAGUAUCCAAACGGGCGGCCAGCGGGAUGCGGCGCCCGCGCGUGGGGGACCCCGCCCUGGGGGCUGUCACCCGCUUCGGGUGGUGAAGGGGUGUGGGUGAAGGUAAUGGGUAACGAAGCACCGGCGAACGAAGUGCAAGCCGCCGGGGUCAAAGACGGAGGAGCAAGCGGCUGACC
This 509-nucleotide ribosomal RNA is filed under the name uncultured bacterium. RNAcentral describes it as "partial 16S ribosomal RNA". It matches the Rfam family "Bacterial small subunit ribosomal RNA", at positions 34 to 540 of the family's 1533-position model. The record is from RNAcentral.